CGAGAAAAUUACUGUAAGUGUUCAUCGUUUCGCCCCGACUCUCAAUCUUCUCCGAUGGCCAAGAGACUGGUUCGGAUUGGUGGAUGAUAGAUGGAAUUAUUGGGUUAUUCAAUGCGGCUCGGGAUUCAUAACCGAUUAAAAAGCGAUAUACAUUUAGAUUUCGUACUUUUUAUUGUGAAUCGUCUCUUCGAAUCACUACCGGAGAAAUCGAAGACUUCCGCAAAGGUAUCACUGAAAUUCUUGUUAAAUAUUUAUUUCUUUUGUUUUCACAGUAAAUUGCUUUCUUUAUAGUUUCUGGUGAUGAGUUUUCUGUUUUUUUUUUUUGGGAACUUUAUAAACAGCAGAGCUGCAAAUUUCGUUGUCGUGUUAAUGUCUAGUUUCUUUGUCAAAUCACAUUAGGUUCAGUGGAUUAAUGGAACUCUAAAAUGGUAAAAAUUAAUGCAAAAAGAUUCAGAGCUCUAUAUAGGUG
This 469-nucleotide long non-coding RNA is filed under the name Erythranthe guttata (spotted monkey flower). Its description in RNAcentral is "long non-coding RNA (EGUT_LNC002760)". Lineage: Eukaryota; Viridiplantae; Streptophyta; Magnoliopsida; Lamiales; Phrymaceae. The record is from RNAcentral.